RNAcentral lists this ribosomal RNA (256 nucleotides) under uncultured bacterium. RNAcentral describes it as "partial 16S ribosomal RNA". It matches the Rfam family "Bacterial small subunit ribosomal RNA", at positions 793 to 1055 of the family's 1533-position model. The record is from RNAcentral.
GUCCACGCCGUAAACGAUGAGUGCUAGGUGUUGGGGAGACUCAGUGCCGCAGCUAACGCAAUAAGCACUCCGCCUGGGGAGUACGACCGCAAGGUUGAAACUCAAAGGAAUUGACGGGGACCCGCACAAGCAGCGGAGCAUGUGGUUUAAUUCGAAGCAACGCGAAGAACCUUACCAGGUCUUGACAUCCUCUGACAAUCUGAGAGAUCAGACUUUCCCUUCGGGGACAGAGAGACAGGUGGUGCAUGGUUGUCGU